This 443-nucleotide ribosomal RNA is filed under the name uncultured bacterium. RNAcentral describes it as "bacterial SSU rRNA". It matches the Rfam family "Bacterial small subunit ribosomal RNA", at positions 350 to 810 of the family's 1533-position model. The record is from RNAcentral.
CACAGAGGGGAAUUUUUCACAAGGGGGGAAACCCUGAUGCAGCAACGCGGCGUGGAGGAUGAAAGACUUUGGAUUGUAAACUCUUUUUGAGGGGGAAGAUUAUGACGGUACCGGAGGAGGAAGCCCCGGCUAACUCUGUGCCAGCAGCCGCGGUAAUACAGAGGGGGCAAGCGUUUUUCGGAUUUAUUGGGCGUAAAGGGCGUGUAGGCGGUUUGUUAAGUCUCUUGUGAAAUCUCCGGGCUCAACUGGGAGUCGGCGUGGGAAACUGCCGGGCUUGAGUGUGGGGGAGGGGAGUGGAUUUCCCGGUGUAGCGGUGAAAUGCGUAGAUAUCGGGAGGAACACCUGUGGCGAGGGCGGCUCUCUGGCCCGCUCCUGACGCUGAGGCGCGAAAGCUAGGGGAGCAAACGGGAUUAGAUACCCUGGUAGUCCUAGCCCUAAACGAU